Molecule: long non-coding RNA, 243 nt
Organism: Solanum verrucosum
Lineage: Eukaryota; Viridiplantae; Streptophyta; Magnoliopsida; Solanales; Solanaceae
Exons: 2
Source: RefSeq, a predicted model, not a curated record
GAGAUUUAGUAAUUUGUGUUCGCGGAAGAAGAAGAGUCUAUACAAAUUGCGUCAUCAUCGGUUCGUUGAAUUUUUUUUAUUCAAGAUUGCCUCUCUUUUGGAAGCAAUUGCUAUGGUUGCUACCUUAGUUUUCUUCUUCUUCCGUUAUGGUUUUCAUUUUUGAUUCUUUUAUAUAUAUUUUCUUUGUAAAUCAAGAGUUCAUUAAUAUUGGAUAAAAGUUGAUAUCUAAUGGGGUGUAAGGUU